Molecule: long non-coding RNA, 343 nt
Organism: Synchiropus splendidus (mandarinfish)
Lineage: Eukaryota; Metazoa; Chordata; Actinopteri; Syngnathiformes; Callionymidae
Exons: 4
Source: RefSeq, a predicted model, not a curated record
UAUCUUCGAAGCUGACAGCAGCAGUGUGCUGAUGCUGUUGUGGAUUCGAGUGUCGGGAACGAGAUUCAGCUGCGACAACGUUGGCAUUGAAUGAUCAAAAGAGGCGCGUUGUGAGAGCUGAAGCAUCAGCACGGAUUUCUUCAAAAUAGACUGGAUUCAAAGCGACAUGUUGGAUCCAGACAGAAAGAAAACUGGUGGCUGCUCAAGAAAAAACCUUCCGAAAUCAGAAUCAGAUCUUGGACGUCAUCUCUGAGACAUUCCAGCCCCUUUUCCUGGACUCCAGCAGGAAUUUCAAGCUUAUUUAGGUGCAAGGCAAGUGAUUUUAUUUUUCCCCUGCAUCAAC